GACGAACGCUGGCGGCGUGCUUAACACAUGCAAGUCGAACGGAAAGGCCCGGCUUUUGUGGGGUGCUCGAGUGGCGAACGGGUGGGUAACACGGGAGUGACCUGCGCUUUACUUUGGGAUAACUUCAGGAAACAGGGGCUAAUGCCGGAUAGGAGCUCCUGCUGGAUGGUGGGGGUUGGUAAGUUUCGGCGGUUGGGUCUGGACUCGCGGCUCAUCAGCUUGUUGGUGGGGUAGUGGCUUACCAAGGCUUUGACGGGUAGCCGGCCUGAGAGGGUGACCGGCCACAUUGGGGCUGAGAUACGGCCCAGACUCCUACGGGAGGCAGCAGUGGGGAAGAUGGCACAAUGGGCGGAAGCCUGAUGCAGCAACGCCGCGUGCGGGAUGACGGCCUUCGGGUUGUAGACCGCUUUCGCCGUUGACGAAGCGAGCGUGACGGUAACGGGUAAAGAAGCCCCGGCUAACUACGUG
Molecule: ribosomal RNA, 468 nt
Filed under: uncultured bacterium
Lineage: Bacteria
Description: partial 16S ribosomal RNA
Rfam family: Bacterial small subunit ribosomal RNA
Source: RNAcentral